GCAACGCCGCGUGAGGGAUGACGGCCUUCGGGUUGUAAACCUCUUUCGCCUGUGACGAAGCGCAAGUGACGGUAACAGGUAAAGAAGCACCGGCCAACUACGUGCCAGCAGCCGCGGUAAUACGUAGGGUGCGAGCGUUGUCCGGAAUUAUUGGGCGUAAAGGGCUCGUAGGCGGUUUGUCGCGUCGGGAGUGAAAACGCCGUGCUUAACACGGCGCUUGCUUUCGAUACGGGCAGACUAGAGGUAUUCAGGGGAGAACGGAAUUCCUGGUGUAGCGGUGAAAUGCGCAGAUAUCAGGAGGAACACCGGUGGCGAAGGCGGUUCUCUGGGAAUGACCUGACGCUGAGGAGCGAAAGUGUGGGGAGCGAACAGGAUUAGAUACCCUGGUAGUCCACACCGUAAACGUUGGGCGCUAGGUGUGGGGUCCAUUCCACGGAUUCCGUGCCGCAGCUAACGCAUUAAGCGCCCCGCCUGGGGAGUACGGCCGCAAGGCUAAAACUCAAAGGAAUUGACGGGGGCCCGCACAAGCGGCGGAGCAUGCGGAUUAAUUCGAUGCAACGCGAAGAACCUUACCUGGGUUUGACAUACACCCUGCCGCUCCAGAGAUGGGGCUUCUUUUG
RNAcentral lists this ribosomal RNA (620 nucleotides) under Nocardioides sp. Ri3Pw_6178. RNAcentral's name for it is "bacterial SSU rRNA". It matches the Rfam family "Bacterial small subunit ribosomal RNA", at positions 391 to 1020 of the family's 1533-position model. The record is from RNAcentral. Lineage: Bacteria; Bacillati; Actinomycetota; Actinomycetes; Propionibacteriales; Nocardioidaceae.